This 1439-nucleotide ribosomal RNA is filed under the name uncultured organism. RNAcentral's name for it is "16S ribosomal RNA". It matches the Rfam family "Bacterial small subunit ribosomal RNA". The record is from RNAcentral.
CUAGCUACAGGCUUAACACAUGCAAGUCGAGGGGCAUCAGGAAGAAAGCUUGCUUUCUUUGCUGGCGACCGGCGCACGGGUGAGUAACACGUAUCCAACCUGCCCUUUACUCGGGGAUAGCCUUUCGAAAGAAAGAUUAAUACCCGAUAGCAUAAUGAUUCCGCAUGGUUUCAUUAUUAAAGGAUUCCGGUAAAGGAUGGGGAUGCGUUCCAUUAGGUUGUUGGUGAGGUAACGGCCCACCAAGCCUUCGAUGGAUAGGGGUUCUGAGAGGAAGGUCCCCCACAUUGGAACUGAGACACGGUCCAAACUCCUACGGGAGGCAGCAGUGAGGAAUAUUGGUCAAUGGGCGCUAGCCUGAACCAGCCAAGUAGCGUGAAGGAUGAAGGCUCUAUGGGUCGUAAACUUCUUUUAUAUAAGAAUAAAGUGCAGUAUGUAUACUGUUUUGUAUGUAUUAUAUGAAUAAGGAUCGGCUAACUCCGUGCCAGCAGCCGCGGUAAUACGGAGGAUCCGAGCGUUAUCCGGAUUUAUUGGGUUUAAAGGGAGCGUAGGUGGACUGGUAAGUCAGUUGUGAAAGUUUGCGGCUCAACCGUAAAAUUGCAGUUGAUACUGUCAGUCUUGAGUACAGUAGAGGUGGGCGGAAUUCGUGGUGUAGCGGUGAAAUGCUUAGAUAUCACGAAGAACUCCGAUUGCGAAGGCAGCUCACUGGACUGCAACUGACACUGAUGCUCGAAAGUGUGGGUAUCAAACAGGAUUAGAUACCCUGGUAGUCCACACAGUAAACGAUGAAUACUCGCUGUUUGCGAUAUACAGUAAGCGGCCAAGCGAAAGCAUUAAGUAUUCCACCUGGGAAGUACGCCGGCAACGGUGAAACUCAAAGGAAUUGACGGGGGCCCGCACAAGCGGAGGAACAUGUGGUUUAAUUCGAUGAUACGCGAGGAACCUUACCCGGGCUUAAAUUGCAGUGGAAUGAUGUGGAAACAUGUCAGUGAGCAAUCACCGCUGUGAAGGUGCUGCAUGGUUGUCGUCAGCUCGUGCCGUGAGGUGUCGGCUUAAGUGCCAUAACGAGCGCAACCCUUAUCUUUAGUUACUAACAGGUUAUGCUGAGGACUCUAGAGAGACUGCCGUCGUAAGAUGUGAGGAAGGUGGGGAUGACGUCAAAUCAGCACGGCCCUUACGUCCGGGGCUACACACGUGUUACAAUGGGGGGUACAGAAGGCAGCUAGCGGGUGACCGUAUGCUAAUCCCAAAAUCCUCUCUCAGUUCGGAUCGAAGUCUGCAACCCGACUUCGUGAAGCUGGAUUCGCUAGUAAUCGCGCAUCAGCCACGGCGCGGUGAAUACGUUCCCGGGCCUUGUACACACCGCCCGUCAAGCCAUGGGAGCCGGGGGUACCUGAAGUACGUAACCGCAAGGAUCGUCCUAGGGUAAAACUGGUGACUGG